Molecule: long non-coding RNA, 191 nt
Filed under: Fukomys damarensis (Damara mole-rat)
Lineage: Eukaryota; Metazoa; Chordata; Mammalia; Rodentia; Bathyergidae
Description: lncRNA (ENSFDAG00000024491.1)
Source: RNAcentral
CCCUAGAGUCAGUAACUCCCCAGAUUAGGUAAAGGCUGAAGAGUCAUUUGGUGGUCAAAGUGCAGGAGUGACUCAAGUCACUGUGGUGAUUCAGGAACAGCUCUGGCAGCCCAUCCAUCUUGUCCUCUCCACAGAAGCCGACAUCUGCUGUCUCUCUCCAGGGCUCCACCACACUCAGCUCUCAUCCCACA